CUUCUUCUACAAGCCAUCCAUACACACAUACGUAUAGAAAAAGAAAAAAUACGCAAACACCUGAGAACACACUCCUCUUUCUCACCAAAAAAGUUAUCUCUAUCAGUCCCUUUUUGAGUUGCAUCACUGCCGAGAUCCCCAGAGCUCCAGCCAAGCGGGAAUGGAAAACCAGCCCCAUUUCUGCCAAUCUCACGUCGAACAGCCACUUCAUUGCUCUUUUUCAGUUUAAAUAUGGCCGGAAAACGUUAAUUUCGGCCACCAAUUCGUUUGUUCUUGAUGGAGUUUUGUUCGGAUUGAGUUUUGAGAAGUUCUCGUGGAUUUGGUUCAUCUUUCAAGGUUCGAGUUGAGGCGGGUUAGUUGAUCGAGGUUUUCGAGUACGGUUCUAU
This 386-nucleotide long non-coding RNA is filed under the name Capsicum annuum. Its description in RNAcentral is "long non-coding RNA (CANN_LNC009137)". Lineage: Eukaryota; Viridiplantae; Streptophyta; Magnoliopsida; Solanales; Solanaceae. The record is from RNAcentral.